CAAGAGUACGUGAAACCGCUUAGGGGUUUAGCCUGAUGAACCUGAAUAUCUGAAUUGAGAAAUUCAAUGCUAUUUAGUAUUUUAUGUAAAAAUAAAUGAACAAUGGUAUGCACUUUUCUCAUAGUAGGACAUUGCGAUCCAUUAGUAUAUCUUUAUAGAUGGUUUAUCAAACGGCCUAUUGGGUUUGUUUAUUCUAUCUGUGACGCUUUUGUGUCAUAUGAAUAAUACCGAUGGUGACCUGGUAAACAGCUGAUGGAGCUUAACAAUCAUGCAACCAUGCAUAUGUAUCACAUUUUACGUAUUUCUAAUAUGUAGAUGUAGUGAUAGCAUGUAUUUGAUUAGCAAUGCGAUAGAUUUGGGAUACCUUCAGGACCCGUCUUGAAACACGGACCAAGAAGUCUAACAUGUGUGUAAGUCAUUGGGUAUUUGUUGAAACCUAAAGGCGUAAUUAAAAUAACUAUUUUAAUGGGAUUACAAGCAAUUUAAUAUAUUGUUUCUCCAUCCCGGGGCGUUCUAUAUGAACAUGGUUUAAGCAAUUAGACCCU
This 545-nucleotide ribosomal RNA is filed under the name Diadocidia ferruginosa. Its description in RNAcentral is "eukaryotic LSU rRNA". It matches the Rfam family "Eukaryotic large subunit ribosomal RNA", at positions 390 to 797 of the family's 3401-position model. Lineage: Eukaryota; Metazoa; Arthropoda; Insecta; Diptera; Diadocidiidae. The record is from RNAcentral.